Molecule: ribosomal RNA, 119 nt
Filed under: Pteropus alecto (black flying fox)
Lineage: Eukaryota; Metazoa; Chordata; Mammalia; Chiroptera; Pteropodidae
Also listed under: 1 other name
Source: RNAcentral
GUCUAUGGCCAUGCCACCCUGAACGUGCCUGAUCUCGUCUGAUCUUGAAAGCUAAGCAGGGUCGGGCCUGGUUAGUACUUGGAUGGGAGACCACCUUGGAAUACCAGGUGCUGUAGGUG